RNAcentral lists this ribosomal RNA (529 nucleotides) under uncultured bacterium. RNAcentral describes it as "bacterial SSU rRNA". It matches the Rfam family "Bacterial small subunit ribosomal RNA", at positions 777 to 1301 of the family's 1533-position model. The record is from RNAcentral.
AAUAGAUACCCAGGUAGUCCACGCCGUAAACGAUGAGUGCUAAGUGUUAGAGGGUUUCCGCCCUUUAGUGCUGCAGCUAACGCAUUAAGCACUCCGCCUGGGGGAGUACGGCCGCAAGGCUGAAACUCAAAGGAAUUGACGGGGGCCCGCACAAGCGGUGGAGCAUGUGGUUUAAUUCGAAGCAACGCGAAGAACCUUACCAGGUCUUGACAUCCUCUGCCAACCCUAGAGAUAGGGCGUUCCCCUUCGGGGGACAGAGUGACAGGUGGUGCAUGGUUGUCGUCAGCUCGUGUCGUGAGAUGUUGGGUUAAGUCCCGCAACGAGCGCAACCCUUGAUCUUACGUUGCCAGCAUUCAGUUGGGCACUCUAAGGUGACUGCCGGUGACAAACCGGAGGAAGGUGGGGAUGACGUCAAAUCAUCAUGCCCCUUAUGGACCUGGGCUACACACGUGCUACAAUGGAUGGUACAAAGAGCUGCGAACCCGCGAGGGUAAGCCAAUCUCAUAAAGCCAUUCUCAGUUCGGAUUGU